RNAcentral lists this ribosomal RNA (1017 nucleotides) under uncultured bacterium. RNAcentral describes it as "bacterial SSU rRNA". It matches the Rfam family "Bacterial small subunit ribosomal RNA", at positions 355 to 1375 of the family's 1533-position model. The record is from RNAcentral.
UGAGGAAUAUUGGUCAAUGGGCGAGAGCCUGAACCAGCCAAGUAGCGUGAAGGAUGACUGCCCUAUGGGUUGUAAACUUCUUUUAUAAAGGAAUAAAGUCGGGUAUGGAUACCCGUUUGCAUGUACUUUAUGAAUAAGGAUCGGCUAACUCCGUGCCAGCAGCCGCGGUAAUACGGAGGAUCCGAGCGUUAUCCGGAUUUAUUGGGUUUAAAGGGAGCGUAGAUGGAUGUUUAAGUCAGUUGUGAAAGUUUGCGGCUCAACCGUAAAAUUGCAGUUGAUACUGGAUAUCUUGAGUGCAGUUGAGGCAGGCGGAAUUCGUGGUGUAGCGGUGAAAUGCUUAGAUAUCACGAAGAACUCCGAUUGCGAAGGCAGCCUGCUAAGCUGCAACUGACAUUGAGGCUCGAAAGUGUGGGUAUCAAACAGGAUUAGAUACCCUGGUAGUCCACACGGUAAACGAUGAAUACUCGCUGUUUGCGAUAUACUGCAAGCGGCCAAGCGAAAGCGUUAAGUAUUCCACCUGGGGAGUACGCCGGCAACGGUGAAACUCAAAGGAAUUGACGGGGGCCCGCACAAGCGGAGGAACAUGUGGUUUAAUUCGAUGAUACGCGAGGAACCUUACCCGGGCUUAAAUUGCAGAUGAAUUACGGUGAAAGCCGUAAGCCGCAAGGCAUCUGUGAAGGUGCUGCAUGGUUGUCGUCAGCUCGUGCCGUGAGGUGUCGGCUUAAGCGCCAUAACGAGCGCAACCCUUGUUGUCAGUUACUAACAGGUUCCGCUGAGGACUCUGACAAGACUGCCAUCGUAAGAUGUGAGGAAGGUGGGGAUGACGUCAAAUCAGCACGGCCCUUACGUCCGGGGCUACACACGUGUUACAAUGGGGGGUACAGAGGGCCGCUACCACGCGAGUGGAUGCCAAUCCCCAAAACCUCUCUCAGUUCGGACUGGAGUCUGCAACCCGACUCCACGAAGCUGGAUUCGCUAGUAAUCGCGCAUCAGCCACGGCGCGGUGAAUACGUUCCC